RNAcentral lists this ribosomal RNA (258 nucleotides) under bacterium enrichment culture clone ALO1_GLFRUDD03GJREY. Its description in RNAcentral is "partial 16S ribosomal RNA". It matches the Rfam family "Bacterial small subunit ribosomal RNA", at positions 9 to 269 of the family's 1533-position model. The record is from RNAcentral.
GAGUUUGAUCGUGGCUCAGAUUGAACGCUGGCGGCAUGCCUUACACAUGCAAGUCGAACGGCAGCACGGGAGCUUGCUCCUGGUGGCGAGUGGCGAACGGGUGAGUAAUGCAUCGGAACGUAUCCUGGAGUGGGGGAUAACGUGCGAAAGUUACGCUAAUACCGCAUAUUCUGUGAGCAGGAAAGCGGGGGACCUUCGGGCCUCGCGCUCUUGGAGCGGCCGAUGUCGGAUUAGCUAGUUGUGAGGUAAAGGCUCACC